Molecule: small nucleolar RNA, 143 nt
Organism: Cucurbita pepo subsp. pepo (vegetable marrow)
Lineage: Eukaryota; Viridiplantae; Streptophyta; Magnoliopsida; Cucurbitales; Cucurbitaceae
Product: small nucleolar RNA snoR134
Source: RefSeq, a predicted model, not a curated record
UUGCACGAUGCACCCCGGGCUUCUCUGAUGUUCUACGUGAAGUUGAUAGCCCCAUUGCUCGUGCUAGAGUGGUGCCGUUUAGUGUUGCAGGUUGGCCUUGCUCUUUUCCACGGCUGAUCUGUGUCAAAAUAACGGCGAGAUUC